GCGCUGGCUUAGGCAGCACAUAUAUUAAAAUUGGAGCAAUACAGAGAAGAUUAGCAUGGCCCCUGUGCAAGGAUGACACGCAAAUUCGUGAAGCAUUCCAUAUUUUU
RNAcentral lists this small nuclear RNA (107 nucleotides) under Cavia aperea (Brazilian guinea pig). Lineage: Eukaryota; Metazoa; Chordata; Mammalia; Rodentia; Caviidae. The record is from RNAcentral.